AGUAAAAGUCGUAACAAGGUUUCCGUAGGUGAACCUGCGGAAGGAUCAUUAAUGAAUGAACUUGGGCAAAGUUGUCGCUGGCCUCAGCAAUGGGGCAUGUGCACGCUUUGUUCAUCCACCCUUCACACCACUGUGCACUUCUCAUGGGUCGGGUUGCGUCUGAAAUAUGGCAAAGCCCUUCUCAUGUGUUUUAACCACACACUAUACAAGUUUUAGAAUGUAACAAUCAUGCAUCAAUGCAUAUAAUACAACUUUCAGCAACGGAUCUCUUGGCUCUCGCAUCGAUGAAGAACGCAGCGAAAUGCGAUAAGUAAUGUGAAUUGCAGAAUUCAGUGAAUCAUCGAAUCUUUGAACGCACCUUGCGCUCCUUGGUAUUCCGAGGAGCAUGCCUGUUUGAGUGUCAUGUUAUUCUCAAUCCCGUCUGCUUUGCGGCCGUCGGGUUUGGAUGUGGAGGCUUGUGCUGGCCCCUCGCGGUCGGCUCCUCUUGAAUGCAUUAGCGGGGCUUAUGCUCGAUGCAACGGUGUAAUACUUUCUUUUCACCGGAGUAACUUGCAAUGGAAAGUCCGCUUCUAAUCGUCUCGCAUGAGACAUUGUAAAGGGAUGGAUUUCUCUUUGACACCUUUGACCUCAAAUCAGGUAGGACUACCCGCUGAACUUAAGCAUAUC
RNAcentral lists this ribosomal RNA (666 nucleotides) under uncultured fungus. Its description in RNAcentral is "eukaryotic LSU rRNA". The stretch from base 250 to 403 matches the Rfam family "5.8S ribosomal RNA". Lineage: Eukaryota; Fungi. The record is from RNAcentral.